This 96-nucleotide transfer RNA is filed under the name Lentinula boryana. RNAcentral's name for it is "tRNA-Thr". It matches the Rfam family "tRNA". From Rfam's summary of the family: Transfer RNA (tRNA) molecules are approximately 80 nucleotides in length. Their secondary structure includes four short double-helical elements and three loops (D, anti-codon, and T loops). Further hydrogen bonds mediate the characteristic L-shaped molecular structure. tRNAs have two regions of fundamental functional importance: the anti-codon, which is responsible for specific mRNA codon recognition, and the 3' end, to which the tRNAs corresponding amino acid is attached (by aminoacyl-tRNA synthetases). tRNAs cope with the degeneracy of the genetic code in two manners: having more than one tRNA (with a specific anti-codon) for a particular amino acid; and 'wobble' base-pairing, i.e. permitting non-standard base-pairing at the 3rd anti-codon position. Lineage: Eukaryota; Fungi; Basidiomycota; Agaricomycetes; Agaricales; Omphalotaceae. The record is from RNAcentral.
GCCUUCUUAGCUCAGUGGUAGAGCGUUGCACUCGUAGUCACGGACAACAUCUAAUCGACUAUGCAAAGGCCGCUAGUUCAAGUCUGGCAGGAGGCA